GUGGGGAAUCUUCCGCAAUGGACGAAAGUCUGACGGAGCAACGCCGCGUGAGUGAAGAAGUAUUUCGGUAUGUAAAGCUCUAUCAGCAGGGAAGAUAAUGACAGUACCUGACUAAGAAGCCCCGGCUAACUACGUGCCAGCAGCCGCGGUAAUACGUAGGGGGCAAGCGUUAUCCGGAUUUACUGGGUGUAAAGGGAGCGUAGACGGUAUGGUAAGUCAGAUGUGAAAGCCCGGGGCUCAACCCCGGGACUGCAUUUGAAACUAUCAGACUAGAGUGCAGGAGAGGUAAGUGGAAUUCCUAGUGUAGCGGUGAAAUGCGUAGAUAUUAGGAGGAACACCAGUGGCGAAGGCGGCUUACUGGACUGUAACUGACGUUGAGGCUCGAAAGCGUGGGGAGCAAACAGGAUUAGAAACCCUAGUAGUCC
RNAcentral lists this ribosomal RNA (425 nucleotides) under uncultured bacterium. RNAcentral describes it as "partial 16S ribosomal RNA". It matches the Rfam family "Bacterial small subunit ribosomal RNA", at positions 354 to 796 of the family's 1533-position model. The record is from RNAcentral.